UAAACUGGGAUUAGAUACCCCACUAUGCCCAGCCCUAAACUUAGAUAGCAAAAUACCACCUAUCCGCCAGAGAACUACAAGCAAAAUACUUAAAACUCAAAGGACUUGGCGGCAUUCCAUAUCAACCUAGAGGAGCCCGUCCAAUAAUCGAUAAUACGCGCUCAACCCAACCAUUUUUGGCCACUCCAGCCUAUAUACCGCCGUCGUCAGCUAACCUUAUGAAAGAAAAGAAGUAAGCACAAUAGCCCUCGCUAAAACGUCAGGUCAAGGUGUAGCUAAUAAAAUGGAUGUGAUAGGCUACAUUUUCUAUUAUAGAAAAUAACGGAAAAUACAAUGAAACCUUGUAAUAGAAGGUGAAUUUAGAAGUAAAUUAAGAAAGUAUCC
RNAcentral lists this ribosomal RNA (384 nucleotides) under Cordylus machadoi. Its description in RNAcentral is "partial 12S ribosomal RNA". It matches the Rfam family "Bacterial small subunit ribosomal RNA", at positions 768 to 1362 of the family's 1533-position model. Lineage: Eukaryota; Metazoa; Chordata; Lepidosauria; Squamata; Cordylidae. The record is from RNAcentral.